UACACACCGCCCGUCACACCAUGGGAGUUGGUUCUACCUGAAGGCGGUGCGCUAACCCGCAAGGGAGGCAGCCGACCACGGUAGGGUCAGCGACUGGGGUG
Molecule: ribosomal RNA, 101 nt
Filed under: uncultured bacterium
Lineage: Bacteria
Description: partial 16S ribosomal RNA
Rfam family: Bacterial small subunit ribosomal RNA
Source: RNAcentral